Molecule: transfer RNA, 74 nt
Filed under: Myotis lucifugus (little brown bat)
Lineage: Eukaryota; Metazoa; Chordata; Mammalia; Chiroptera; Vespertilionidae
Rfam family: tRNA
About the family: Transfer RNA (tRNA) molecules are approximately 80 nucleotides in length. Their secondary structure includes four short double-helical elements and three loops (D, anti-codon, and T loops). Further hydrogen bonds mediate the characteristic L-shaped molecular structure. tRNAs have two regions of fundamental functional importance: the anti-codon, which is responsible for specific mRNA codon recognition, and the 3' end, to which the tRNAs corresponding amino acid is attached (by aminoacyl-tRNA synthetases). tRNAs cope with the degeneracy of the genetic code in two manners: having more than one tRNA (with a specific anti-codon) for a particular amino acid; and 'wobble' base-pairing, i.e. permitting non-standard base-pairing at the 3rd anti-codon position.
Source: Rfam by way of RNAcentral
ACCAGUGUAGCUCAGUGGUUAGAGUGUCAGCCCAAGCACUGAAGGGUCACAGGUUCAAUUCCUGGUCAAGGGCA